Molecule: long non-coding RNA, 5385 nt
Filed under: Podarcis lilfordi (Lilford's wall lizard)
Lineage: Eukaryota; Metazoa; Chordata; Lepidosauria; Squamata; Lacertidae
Source: RNAcentral
CAGAAAUGCUCCAGUCCAGAGCACCAUGUGUACUUUUUAUACAUGAAGCUUCAGCAAGUGUUGCCUUCUUCAUUUACUUCAAUGGAUUCUCAACAAAUCAGUAAGAUCGGGGGGGGGGGGUUGUAUUUCUAUUAUGGAAGCAACUGGGGUGGUUGGUUUUUUGUUUGUUUGUUAAUUAGGUUGCUAUUUUGCGGGAUUCGUUGCUGGGAAUAGUAAAUAUUCUGAGUUACUUGUAAAUUUGCCAGGUUUGAUAUUUAGCAAGGGGUUGGAUUAGAUAAGACUAAGGGGAGUCCUGCUGGAGGGAGGAAGCCUUUUCUCUAUUCACUUUUGUAAAAAUAAAAAUAAAAGUACAGUGGUACCUCGGGUUAUGAACUUAAUUUGUUCCGGAGCUCUCUUCUUAACUUGAAACCGUUCUUAACCUGAGGCGCACUUUCGCUAAUGGGGCCUCCCGCUGCCUCCCGCUGACGGCGUGCGAUGUCCGUUCUCAUCCUGGGACAAAGUUCGCAACCUGGAGCAACUACUUCCGGAUUAGCGGAGUUUGUAACCCAAAGCGUUUGUAACCCAAAGGGUUUGUAACCCAAGGUACCACUGUACGUGCAUUUUCUCUUUUUUUCAGGUUGUGUUUUCUACAGAUCAGUUACAUUUGUUGUGAGACAUUAGUGUUGUAUGCAGUAUUCAUAGUUUUAUAGCCUUCUGUUUUGUCACCUAUUACUCACCUUUUCUGUAAACUAGAAAGCCCCAACUGCUGCAACCUUUCCUCAGAGCAGUCGCUCCAUUCCCUUGAUCAUUUCUGGUUGCCCUUUUCUGAACCUUUUCCAGCUCUACAAUAUCUUAUUUGAGGUCAAGACCUCCAAGGUCCCUUCCAACGCUUUGAUUCUAUGAAGUGUGGUAAAUAAAUAGAACUUCAUGCAUUCAGUAUAUUAAUAAUCUAAAACAAAUUUUAGCAGGUGAGGGCAUUUUUUGACUACAGAACAGUUUAACUUAGUGGAUUGUUUGUCUAUUUUUUGAGGCUGAUUAACUGUAAUAAGGAAUUUUUUAAAGGGGAGGAGGAGAGAGAAAUGAGGUGGCUAUUCCUCCCCAAAUGAAUGUCAGUGUUUAUUAAAUUGCAAGCUGUCUUCAGUAGCUUCAAAAGGCACUUGUAUUGAAGUUUUUUAUAAGAGGCAGAUUUAUUUCCAGGUUAAAAGACAGAUCUGCUUGAUCAACUCAAUAUUCCUGAAUUGAUCAACAGUCCCAAUAAACAAUUUAGUAAGUGGUGGGGAUCAUCUGCACGUGACUUUCCCAUCAAAAUGACACUAUGCAAUGCUACAAGGCUGUAUUCACUUGUUAAUGCUAAAUAUUGUUGCUUUUGAUUAUGUAUUUCAUGGUUUUGUAUUCUGAUUUUAUCCUGUGAACCGCCCUGAGACCUGUGGGUAUAGGGCGGUAUAUCAAUUCAACAAACAAACAAACAAACAAAGGCUAAUAUGCAUCAAACAUUUGCCUCUCCCCACAAUCCUAAAAGAAACUAACACUGAAAUAGUUCUCUGGGAUUUGCUAGGAGGAAUGUGGAAAAGACCUGUCCUCUCCCCCUUUGAAAAAAAAUCAAUGUGUGUGUGUGUGUGUGUGUGCUGUGGGAAUACAGAAUGUUGUAUUGAACUCUGUGUCAUAAUUCAAUGUGCAUUUCAUCCAGUACAGAGGGCCCACAAAGAAACAUGGUUAUCCCCAUACCUACGGGAAAACCCCCUGAAGAUAAAAUAUACAGUUGUACCCUUGGUUCUCAAAUGCCUUGGUACUCAAACAACUUGGAACCCAAACACUGCAAACCCGGAAGUAAGUGUUCCGGUUUGCUAACUUUUUUUUGGAAGCUGAACAUGCUCCGUUUUGAGUGCCACACUUCCGUUUUGAGUGUUACGCUGAGGUUUGUCUGUUUUUCCUUUCUAUUUUGCGUUUUUGUUUUUACAGCUCUUUUUUGUUUGUUUUUGUGACUUUGUGGCCUCGGCAGGCCAGGAACUAGUUCCCAUGCCUUGUUCCUCUCUAAGGAAUCAAGUUCAGCCUUCAUGGCAUUUAACCAUGGCUCAGCAUCCUCUGAAGUUAAACUUUGGACCCAAUGGAAGCUGGGCAGACUGCAGGCCUUGACAGGUUGGGUUGUCCUCUUAUAUACCUGCUGGGAUUGACAAGGCAUCUCACCCUCACCUGAAUCUGAUAGCUCUCCUGUAGCUGCCUCUGAUUAGUUAUCAUUUAACUCUUGGGGGAAAUAAUUAGCAUCACAUGUCAUGUGCAUGGAAGUUGCCGAACCAAUUAACCAAGUAGAAGGAUUACUGUUAAUAUCACCAGUUUUCCUAUAACUUGCUAUUGCUGGAUAGUUUUGAUGAACUGCAAAAGCAUUUUUAGUUUGCUUUCUGUUGCCACCCUAGAACUUUUCUUUAUUAGUGCCUUUUUCCUUUGUAUGAUUCCUUGCAAAUGAAGGAAAACAACUUUUCUGCUUGUAUAGGUUGAUAAUAUAAUAUUGGUUACUGAGGACAAACAAGAUUGUACAAAAACAAGGUUGGGUGCAGGUCUGACCAGGACGUAGGCGUCCUGACUCUGACAAAGGUGACCUGUGGGCUUGCUUGCUUGAUUAACAGCUGUUGGGAACGUAAAGGUCCCUGCUCUCCCUUCUUAUGGUCUUUGUACUGGACCUGGAGACUCCAAUAGAGAGUAUUCCAUGUCAAGAAGGGCAAGUGGGCACCCUAUCAAAUGACAGGGCAGGAGUUACACAGAGCAGGGCCUUUUCACGGGUAGUGCCCAUUGUAUGCUUUGCUCUUCCCAGACCUGCUCUCUUUUGGCCUGCAUUUUGGAGCUUUAUAAUUUAGGAAAACUUUGUAAGAACUGGUUGACAAGUCUUAUCAGUUGAUGACGUAUGAGCGGAUUUUAUUUGCUGCUAUUCUGGGCUUCUGAUGCACCAGGGUUUACACCAGCAUAAUAGAGUUGGCCAGGAUGCCAGAAGGGAUACAAGUUACGAGCUUUCUCCAUUAUCUGCACAGCAGGGAGUGUUCAGUCAACAGCGCAAAGGCUGAGCUGAAGCAUUUCCUGCUGGUUACCUGCUUUCAGCAAUAGGGGUCGCUGUUUGGUAGUACCCAAUUGGUUAGCUGUCAGAUUCUAGAGCUCCCUAUUGGUGGCUCUUAGGUAGUUCACAAAAUACAGAGUCCAUUCAUAAAACACAGUGUUCAUUCAUAGAGCAGUAAUAUAAAUCUCCAUUGCUACAUGUUGGGUGUAUAUUUCAGCAGUUGAACGUACAAGUUUAUGGCCAUGCUGUAGUUUGGUGCUUAUGCAACUGUGAAUAAAAGGUGGCUGGGCUCAUUGUCUCGGGGUUUGGGGGGGGGAAGAGGUGACAAAACUGAUAUCCAAUAAGUGCCCCCCCUUAUUUCCACAACAAGUCCUUGAGCUUGUACUCUGAAUGGUGACACCAGGGACCUAGAAGGUGCAGGACUUGUCAAUCCAACCCCUGCACAGUCUCAUCAGGGCUGACCUUAAGGCAAUUGGAGCAAUUGGGCCAAAUUGGGCCCCGUGGGCCGCUCCUAUGCAGGCCGCUGCACCAGGGCAAUCUAGAUGGAUUUUAUUUAUAUCCAUAAGAUUUUGCAGACUUUGGCUGUGAACUGGGGCCCUACAAAAGAAAAAAAAUUCAAGUUGCGCCCCAGUGCUUCAAAUUGGGCCCCACUGGCUAGCCCUGAGUCUCAUAGUUGCUGGGCCCGAAUUGCCCUGCCCUCGCAUGAAGUAUAGGGUUUGCAGUUUUGGGAGAGGGGAGACUGCCUGCUGGGGCGCGGGAAGGCUGGUGAGGCCCCUUAGAUUUAGAGGCCCUAGGCUUCAGCCUACUUAACCUAUACAUAAAUCUGGCACUGGCGCUGGGGGAUGUGUGACCUGUGAGCUAUAUUAGGCUCACCAGACCUCCCCAUUUGGCCCUUGAGUCCAGGGUGGCCAAAUCAUGUCCCUCAAAGGUGUCCCUUGCUCUUUCUUAGCGAUUUGAGGCUAUUUAGCUGCAGUUUCCCUCCUGCAAGAGAUGUGGCUUGCAGCUUGGCCACGACUGAAUGAGGUUUAGUCCUUCUGACUCUGUCAACCCUCUCCUGCCCAAACAAAAGCUUAUUCACGACAGAUAGUCAUCCUGCGAUAAUAUAGAUACCGAAUUCCUGAAUAAAUCCCUCGCCAGGUGACUUCCCAGUUGUAUACUCAGUGAGGACUUCAAAGUGCAUUGCCUGACUUGCUGUAAGAGUGAUGCUGUUCCAAGACUGUACAUUAAUGUCACAGUUUCCCACCAUCUCUGCAGCUCGGGGGGGGGGGCAGACUCCAUAGAGCUGAAAAGUGCAGCCCUCUCAUUUCAAAAAGGGGCUUCGGUUUUUUAAUAUUGUAUAUUAAAGGUAUCAAGUCCUGCAUUGUCAUGUUAGGUAGCCCCAAACAGUGAAUGAACCCAGCUCUGCUCUAGCUGCUGGCACACUAUAGCUUUAUAGCACAGUCCAAACACAUUUCCCGCCUCAAAGAAUUCUGGGCACUGUAGUUUGUUCAGGGAUGCUGCGAAUGGUAGCUCUGUGAGGGAUAAACCACAGUGCCCAGAAUUCUUUGAGGGCAAGAUUGUUCUUUAAACAUGCUUUAAAGGUAUAGUGUGUACACAACCUGUGAAUGCCGUGUGAACUGACCUUUUCUCCAUGGGUGUAGCCAGGAUUUUUUCAGGGCGUGGGCAGGCUUUAUGUUAGGGGGAGGAAGAAGCAAGUUAUCUGCGACACAACUGAUCAAUUUCUUAAGUAUUUUAAUUUGUUUACUUGAUUGGGGGAGCAGAUCCCCCUGCCCCCUGGCUACGCCCAUGCCUUUCUCCCUUGUUUGUAUUUUCAGUUCCUGUGAAGUCACCCAGAAGUGAGGACGACUAGGAAGGUCUGGAUCCAUGCCACCCACUUGGAUCCAGGGCUACGUUUUUACCGAGCAACUAAGAGUCUGAAUCCAAGCGAGGCUUCCAAGCAAGAAUGAUUUCCAAGCAAGAAAUGCGUUUCCACAGCAUCAUGAGCUAAUACUCUAGUGGGGUUGCAAAAUACAGGGGAGUUCAGCAAUGGGGAACCAGCUGUGUUUCAGAGAAUCUUGCUCACUGAUCUCAUCAAGGGCCAGGUUCAGUUUCCAAGGAAUCCCAGUAUUCCCAAAACAAUCGUUUGAAAACCACUGAUUGCUCCAAAGGUCGCUGUGAACUAUGUAAUGAUGGCUCUGAGAAUCCCUUGUAGAAAAGCUAUCAUUCAACAACAACAACCCUACUUGCCUGCCUGCAAGCCACCAACCACAAGACCUGCUUUGUCUUGCUGUAAGAGACGGUGAGCUUUCUGAGCUAUGACUGUAUUACUGUUGUGAAUAACACUGAAGUAGCACUAAACUUAUUUUAUUUUUUAUACCCCACCC